GACGAACGCUGGCGGCGUGCUUAACACAUGCAAGUCGAACGGAAAGGCCCUGCUUUUGUGGGGUGCUCGAGUGGCGAACGGGUGAGUAACACGUGAGUAACCUGCCCUUGACUUUGGGAUAACUUCAGGAAACUGGGGCUAAUACCGGAUAGGAGCUCCUGCUGCAUGGGGGGGGUUGGAAAGUUUCGGCGGUUGGGGAUGGACUCGCGGCUUAUCAGCUUGUUGGUGGGGUAGGGGCUUACCAAGGCUUUGACGGGUAGCCGGCCUGAGAGGGUGACCGGCCACAUUGGGACUGAGAGACGGCCCAGACUCCUACGGGAGGCAGCAGUGGGGAAUAUUGCACAAUGGGCGGAAGCCUGAUGCAGCAACGCCGCGUGCGGGAUGACGGCUUUCGGGUUGUAAACCGCUUUCUCCUGUGACGAAGCGUGAGUGACGGUAAUGGGUAAAGAAGCACCGGCUAACUACGUG
Molecule: ribosomal RNA, 468 nt
Filed under: uncultured bacterium
Lineage: Bacteria
Description: partial 16S ribosomal RNA
Rfam family: Bacterial small subunit ribosomal RNA
Source: RNAcentral